Molecule: ribosomal RNA, 1665 nt
Filed under: Triticum aestivum (bread wheat)
Lineage: Eukaryota; Viridiplantae; Streptophyta; Magnoliopsida; Poales; Poaceae
Description: partial small subunit ribosomal RNA
Source: RNAcentral
ACAGAAUAUACAGGUGAUGGAUCUGUUUGCAUCAGUGGGCAUCCUGCUUCCAGAAAACAUACAGGGAAUUGGAAGGCCUCCUUCUUAAUCAUAGUCUGUUCACUCUGCUGUUAUCUUGCAUAUUCUCCCAUUGGAAAAAACCUUGUCAGCUAUCUCACAAAAGUCCUACAUGAAACAAAUUUGGAUGCUGCAAGACAUGUUGCAACUUGGCAAGGUACUAGCUAUCUCGCGCCUCUGGUUGGAGCCUUCGUUGCCGAUUCAUAUCUGGGAAAGUACCGGACAGUUUUGAAUCGCCUGCAUGAUUUUCAUCAUUCACUUCAAUUAAUCUCAGCCGGUCCUCACGCUUGGACUGUUUGGGUACAUCUAGUCUCUUCUCAGUACACCAUAUUCUUGGUUGGGUUGUACAUGGUGGGUUUAGGGUAUGGUGCACAGCGCCCUUGUGUCACGUCUUUUGGAGCCGAUCAAUUUGAUGACACCGAUUAUGUGGAGAAAACCAAAAAGAGCUCCUUCUUCAAUUGGCAUUAUUUUGCAAUCAAUGUUGGUUCAUUGAUUGCUGGGACUGUUAUUGUCUGGGUUCAAGAACAUGAAGGCUGGCUCUGGGGUUUUACAAUUUCAACACUGGUUGUGACUUUAGGUGUAUGUAUUUUUUUCUUAGGCUCCAUCAUGUAUAGAUUUCAGAAGCCUGGAGGAAGCCCUCUGACAAGACUAUGCCAGGUUGUCAUUGCAGCUACUCGGAACUUUGAUAAAGUUUUGCCAUGUGAUUCCUCAGCUCUUUAUGAGUUUAUGGGGCAAGGCUCGGCAAACGAAGGCAGCCGGAAAUUGGAGCAUACAACUGGACUUGAGUUCUUUGAUAAAGCUACAAUUGUAACAUUACCUGACUGUGAAUCUCCUGGCCAACAUAAUAAAUGGAAGAUUUGCACUGUCACUCAGGUAGAGGAGUUAAAGAUUCUGAUCAGGAUGUUUCCAAUUUGGUCGGCAAUGGUAUUGUUUGCUGCAGUUCAGGAACAGAUGUCUUCAACAUUUGUAGAGCAAGGGAUGGCAAUGGAUAAACACAUCGGGUCUUUCGAAAUACCUGCUGCAUCCUUCCAGUGUGUAGAUACAAUUACUGUCAUUGUACUGGUUCCAAUUUAUGGGAAACUCAUUGUUCCAGUAAUUAGAAAAUUUACUGGCAGAGCGAAUGGCAUUACGUCACCACAGCGAAUAGGGAUUGGUUUAUGUUUCUCGAUGUUCUCAAUGGUGUCAGCAGCAUUGGUGGAGGGUAACCGGCUACAGAUUGCACAGGCCGAAGGUUUGGUGCACCGCAAGGUGGCUGUUCCGAUGAGCAUCGUGUGGCAAGGACCCCAGUACUUCCUGCUAGGCGUCGCCUUGGUGUUCUCCAAUAUUGGGCUAACUGAGGUUUUCUAUGAUGAAUCUCCAGAUGGCAUGCAAAGCUUAUGUAUGGCAUUCUCGCUUGUUAACAUGUCGGUUGGAAAUUACCUUAGUUCAUUUAUCCUUUCCCUUGUGCCAGUAUUCACAGCCAGAGGAGGCAGCCCAGGGUGGAUACCUGAUAACUUGAAUGAAGGGCAUUUGGAUAGAUUCUACCUGAUGAUGGCUGGGCUGAGUUUUUUGAAUAUAGUAGUCUUUGUAUUAUGUGCUAUGAGGUACAAAUGUAAGAAGGCUUUCUGA